CCCUUAGACGCUCUGGGCGGCACGCGCGCUACAAUGGGUGGUAGAACGUGUAACUGCUCCCGAAAGGGAGGGUGAACCACGAAUACUUACCCGUGAAUGGGAUAGUUUGUUGCAAUUUUCGGACUUGAACUAGGAAUCCCUUGUAAGAAUGCUCAAGAAUAGCGUGCUGAAUACGUCCCUGCCGUUUGUACACACCGCCCGUCGUUUCUUCCGACUGAUACUCAUUGUGAGUUGCAAGGAUUCUUAUUGAAAAAUUGCUGCGAAUGCUUUGUAUUGGAGGAAGAAAAAGUCGUAACA
Molecule: ribosomal RNA, 297 nt
Filed under: uncultured eukaryote
Lineage: Eukaryota
Description: partial 18S ribosomal RNA
Rfam family: Eukaryotic small subunit ribosomal RNA
Source: RNAcentral